RNAcentral lists this ribosomal RNA (528 nucleotides) under Nowakowskiella elegans. RNAcentral describes it as "eukaryotic LSU rRNA". It matches the Rfam family "Eukaryotic large subunit ribosomal RNA", at positions 139 to 700 of the family's 3401-position model. Lineage: Eukaryota; Fungi; Chytridiomycota; Chytridiomycetes; Cladochytriales; Nowakowskiellaceae. The record is from RNAcentral.
CGAAUUGUAGUUUAGAGAAGUGUCUUCUGGGGUAGCUCAGGCAUAGGUCCUUUGGAAAGAGGCGUCAUAGAGGGUGAGAACCCCGUCUGUAGCCUGAAGCCUACUCCUUUGUGAUACACUUUCAAAGAGUCGAGUUGUUUGGGAAUGCAGCUCAAAAUGGGUGGUAAAUACCAUCUAAAGCUAAAUAUUGGCGAGAGACCGAUAGCGAACAAGUACCGUGAGGGAAAGAUGAAAAGAACUUUGAAAAGAGAGUUAAACAGUACGUGAAAUUGUUAAAAGGGAAACGCUUGAAAUCAGUGUUGCAGCCCAGCAAUCAGCCAUUCCAUAGGAUGGUGCACUUGCUGGGAGCAGGUCAGCAUCAGUUUACUGUGGAGUAAAAAGCUGCGAAUCAGCCUUUUAGGUUGGGUCGCCAGUCAUGCUCUGCGGUGGACUGAGGACUGCUUUAACAGGAUGCUGACGAAAUGGUUUUAAACGACCCGUCUUGAAACACGGACCAAGGAGUCUAACAAAUAUGCGAGUAUUCGGGUG